Molecule: small nuclear RNA, 107 nt
Organism: Jaculus jaculus (lesser Egyptian jerboa)
Lineage: Eukaryota; Metazoa; Chordata; Mammalia; Rodentia; Dipodidae
Source: Ensembl
GUGCUUACUUUGGCAGCACACAUACUAAAAUUGGAAUGAUACAAAGAAGAUUAGCAUGGCCCCUAUGAAAGUAUGACAUGCAAAUUUAUGAAGCGUUCCAUAUUUUU